AGACAUCUCCUACGGGGGCAGCAGUGAGGAAUAUUGGUCAAUGGGCGGGAGCCUGAACCAGCCAAGCCGCGUGAGGGAAGAAGGUACAGCGUAUCGUAAACCUCUUUUGUCAGGGAACAAAGGCGGGGACUAGUCCCCGGAUGAGGGUACCUGAAGAAAAAGCAUCGGCUAACUCCGUGCC
RNAcentral lists this ribosomal RNA (181 nucleotides) under uncultured bacterium. RNAcentral describes it as "partial 16S ribosomal RNA". It matches the Rfam family "Bacterial small subunit ribosomal RNA", at positions 330 to 509 of the family's 1533-position model. The record is from RNAcentral.